This 480-nucleotide ribosomal RNA is filed under the name uncultured bacterium. RNAcentral's name for it is "partial 16S ribosomal RNA". It matches the Rfam family "Bacterial small subunit ribosomal RNA", at positions 28 to 507 of the family's 1533-position model. The record is from RNAcentral.
GACGAACGCUGGCGGCGUGCUUAACACAUGCAAGUCGAACGAUGAAGAAAAGAAUUGAAGCUUCGGCAGAAAUUCAUUUCGGAUUAGUGGCAGACGGGUGAGUAACGCGUGAGCAACCUACCUCUUACAAAGGGAUAGCCUCGGGAAACCGGGAGUAAUACCAUAUAACAUUGCGACGAAGCAUUUCGAUGCAAUCAAAGCUACGGCGGUAAGAGAUGGGCUCUCGUCCCAUUAACCAUAGGGUGAGGUAACGGCACACCAUAGUAAGGAUGGGUAACCGGCAUGGGAGGGUGAAAGGUCACACUGGAACUGAGACACGGUCCAGAAUCCUACGGGAGGGAGCAGUGGGGAAUAUUGCACACUGAAGGGAACUCUGAUGAAGCGACGCCGCGUGAGUGAUGAAGGAAUUCGUUUCGUAAAACUCUGUUUUAUGGGAAGAAAAGGACUGUACCAUAGGAGAAAGCACCGGCUAAAUACGUG